CAUCCGAAUCAGGUCAAAAUCAGAACGUCACAAACUUUAUAGGGAGAGAAAGAGAAGGGGAAAGGGAACGAGAGAGAGAGAGAGAGAGAGAGAGAUGGGGUGUUUUGCUUGCUUCGAUGGUGGCAAGCAACAGAGAAAGGAAGAAGAACGGUUAGCCUCUCUAGAAGCUCGAUCUAAAGCUGCCGAUGCCGCCCAGAAGAGGCAGGAGCAAUUUGAUCAGUCUGCUGCAGGAAAAGCUGCACGUGCACAGCUAGCAGCAGCUGCAAAGCAAUCUGCAAACUCUAACAAAGGCGAACCAGUUCUUAAGUGGCAGGUGGGAUGAAUGAUUCAACUUUUUCUCUACUCAACGGCAACCACUUAUUUUGGACACACGAGGAUACGCGAGGAAAAAUAAACUAUCGAAGGCCCUGCAGAUGUUCAAAGAUGUCGAUCGAAGGCACUUAUGAGUGUUUGAGAGUACUAAUCUCUCUUUCAUUAGUCUUCUUGUGUUCGUCAAGCCUUCAAAGCGUCUGCUGUAAAUGGUUCUUUUGUCCAGAUCUACUUGGAAUAAAUAAUUAUGUAAUACAAACAGAAAAAUAAAGUUGAAUGUAAAAUGCAUCUUUGGUCCAGGUCUGAUCUCUGUAUAGAAAAAUUUGUGAAAAUAAAGUUGAAUGCAAAUGCUUCUGUGGUCCAGGUCUGAUCUCUGUACAGCAAAAUUUGUUACCAUUUCUUCUUUGUUUUCUUGUAGAUUAUAUCAUUCUCCAUCAUAUUGUUGAUAGAA
Molecule: non-coding RNA, 760 nt
Organism: Camellia sinensis
Lineage: Eukaryota; Viridiplantae; Streptophyta; Magnoliopsida; Ericales; Theaceae
Source: RefSeq, a predicted model, not a curated record